RNAcentral lists this long non-coding RNA (453 nucleotides) under Pan troglodytes (chimpanzee). RNAcentral's name for it is "lincRNA". Lineage: Eukaryota; Metazoa; Chordata; Mammalia; Primates; Hominidae. The record is from RNAcentral.
GAACCUCACCGUCCACUUCCACCUACGGGGCAUCCGCCACUCCCUCUCUCCUAUGCCCAGUCCUCUUCCCAGGCGCCCUGAACUCAGCCAUUACCCAGGCUGGCACCGCCUCCCACACUGAUCUCAAAGGUCUUCCCGGCCACCGACGUGGACCAUCACUCCCACACUGAUCUCAAAGGUCUUCCCGGCCACCGACGUGGACCAUCAGACUCACACACUUAUCUCAAAGGUCUUCCCGGCCACAGACAUGGACCAUUACUCCCACACUGAUCUCAAAGGUCUUGCCGGCCACCGACGUAGACCAUCACUCCCACACUGAUCUCAAAGGUCCUGCCGGGCACCGACGUGGACCAUCACUCCCACACUGAUCUCAAAGGUCUUCCGUCUUCCCAGCCACCGAUGUGGACCAUCACUCCCACAAUGAUCUCAAAGGUCUUGCCAGCCACCAAUGUG